AUGAGGACGGAGAUGGUCAUCAAGAUCCAGAUCAGCUCUGAGAAGGGCCAUUCCAAAGCUAUCAAGGUGGCUGCUGCGGUCACCGGCGUUGAGUCUGUCACGAUCGCCGGCGAGGACAAGAACCUGCUGCUGGUGAUCGGCGCCGGGGUCGACUCCAACCGCCUCACCGAGAAGCUGCGGCGGAAGGUGGGCCACGCUGAGGUGGUGGAAUUGCGCACCGUCGACGACGACGACUUCGCCGGCGAGUACCACCCGUACCGCUACCACCCGAGCCCGAGCCCGUACAAGCACGUGACCGCGCGCGACAUGUACUACACGGGGAGCUACCCGCCGCAGCAGCACGCCGGGGGCGGUCGGGACCACUACCGCAACGCCGGCUCGUACCCUCCGACGACGGGCGGGCGAGACUACUACAGCUACGGCGGCGGCGGCGGCGGUGGCGGCUACCCCGCGCAGUACCAGCAGCAGGGGUACUACUACCCGCAGCAGCCGGCUGCGAACAUGCACACGGUGGUGCACCAUGGGUACUCGGAUGACCCCAACAGCUGCUCCAUCAUGUAG
RNAcentral lists this ribosomal RNA (561 nucleotides) under Triticum aestivum (bread wheat). Its description in RNAcentral is "partial small subunit ribosomal RNA". Lineage: Eukaryota; Viridiplantae; Streptophyta; Magnoliopsida; Poales; Poaceae. The record is from RNAcentral.